GACGAACGCUAGCGGCGUGCCUAAGAAAUGCAAGUCGAGCGAGGUUAGAGAGCUUGCUCUCGAAGCCUAGCGGCGAACGGUCGCGUAACACGUAAGGAACCUGCCCCGAAGUGUGGGAUAGCCCCGGGAAACUGGGAGUAAUACCUCAUGUGGUCCAUUGCCGGCAUCGGUGAUGGUCUAAAGCAGCAAUGCGCUUUGGGAUGGUCUUGCGGCCUAUCAGCUAGUUGGUGUGGUAACGGCGCACCAAGGCGACGACGGGUAGCUGGUCUGAGAGGAUGGUCAGCCGGACUGGGACUGAGACACGGCCCAGACUCCUACGGGUGGCAG
Molecule: ribosomal RNA, 327 nt
Filed under: uncultured Armatimonadota bacterium
Lineage: Bacteria; Bacillati; Armatimonadota
Description: bacterial SSU rRNA
Rfam family: Bacterial small subunit ribosomal RNA
Source: RNAcentral